Molecule: long non-coding RNA, 770 nt
Organism: Syngnathoides biaculeatus (alligator pipefish)
Lineage: Eukaryota; Metazoa; Chordata; Actinopteri; Syngnathiformes; Syngnathidae
Exons: 3
Source: RefSeq, a predicted model, not a curated record
CUGCUCUUUCGUGGUGGCAGUAAACAGGACUUUCUGCCCAUGCAGAGACUGCAGAAAAGCGAGCAUAACAACUCGGACCAAAAGUCACGCAAGGGGUGCCUUUGCGUGGAAGUGAUAGUGAUGAGGCGACAGGCCUGGAGGCAAUCAGACCCUUUCAGUCAGCGCACAUCACGAGGUCCAUUUGUCCUCUUGGCUGCUUCUUCAAAGCAUCGAGCCAACCUACUGCAAUUGUAAGCUGCGCUUCUGGCUGUUUAUCAUUUAUCACACAUUAGCAGGUUGGACGUGUACUGUCCGUGUAAUGAAAAGCAGGCCCGAAGUCGGAACAAAACUUUUUCUCAAGAUGAGGAUUUAAAUAAACCCUUCCGUGUUUUUGUUGGUGCUUUGAAUCCACUUUUGUGUGUGUGUGUGUGUGUGUGCGUGUGUUAUGGAUGAACAGAUGAAGAAGCCACUUUGGAAUUCAUCAACGAUAUCUGUCUCCUCUGUGCACCCUUGGAAAAUGGAAGUUUCUUCGUUGGCCAGAAGAUGGCGCAGCAGCAGCAUCUCGCCGAGGGAGGCCUAAACGGAUGAAGCUAAAUUCCUCAAUGAAGUGGAGGCGCGCAAGGAAAUCGUCUUUUGGCACGCUGUCCUCCGGCGUUGACAACAAGCUAAAGAGGAGUUAAUGGGCCAGCACAUGUGCGGCUGUCAAUGCCGUGGUGUUGGAACUAAAAAAGAAGGUAGAAGUGAAGUGGAGGACAGCUGCCCACCGCCAAUGUGUGCCCAGGACAGGUGGA